This is a non-coding RNA of Misgurnus anguillicaudatus (oriental weatherfish), 822 nucleotides long. Lineage: Eukaryota; Metazoa; Chordata; Actinopteri; Cypriniformes; Cobitidae. The record is from RefSeq and is a predicted model, not a curated record.
CUUUGCUUUGACCACUAGAGGGCGCAAGAAGUCAGCCGGCGUGUGACGUCGGCGUCAGUAGACGAGCUUACAGGAUCCCGGCUUCUCGACACAUGUAGUAAAACUGUCCUCUCUUCUCAAUCAGUCUCUCCAAGCAUGGCAGACAGGAGCGAGGAUUUCCCACUGCCGACGUGGCCGACAACAGCAACCAGUGAGCCGCAUGGCACCCUAACACUGAUUCUACACACAAAUACGCAAACACAAACAUCAUAAGGAUGGAACCUAAGGUUUACAUUACCACAGUGAGACUUCGUAUGAUGGGACUGAGCAAGAAGACAAGAUGUUGUUGGAUUUCCUGUCUUCGUUCCAACAGGAUGUAAAAGAAUUCCACAAAACCAAAGGAGGCCAAGAAGAAGCCCAGCAACUGCAAAAGACUUGGCACUGCAGAGCGAAGAGAGAGGCAGUGGACUGCGGCCGUGGCAGUACAGAUGAAGGAAAUAGAACGGUGAAAGGACCCACAGGUAGAUGCAUGGAGCCCAAACCAGGACCGUGUUCUGGAAGCAGUCGCUCAGUUCAGGGUUGUGUGUAUACCAUGUCUGAUUCCAGUCCUGAAGAUGAAGAAACGUUUGUGGUAUUGGUAAGUUUUCAACCAAUUAUGUUAUAAUGAGAAAAUAGAUACAAUAGCUCUCCACAAAAUCCUCUUGGAUCCAAACCAUCUCCACACACCGACCAUGGUCUGAAUUUUCUGGGACUUCCAAAAUUAGGCUACAGUUUUGAACAUUUUGUGGUUGUGCAGUUGUAUAAGACACUGGUACUUAGACACUAAACUAGCAGAAUGGUCUU